Mus musculus (house mouse) is the source of this 3589-nucleotide long non-coding RNA. RefSeq annotates it as predicted gene, 42147. Lineage: Eukaryota; Metazoa; Chordata; Mammalia; Rodentia; Muridae. The transcript has 2 exons. The record is from RefSeq and is a predicted model, not a curated record.
GGUUUAUGUGGUAAGUCUCAAGUCAGCCAAGGCUAUGUAAGGAAACCCUGUUUUGGGGGUGGGGGCGGGGCAAGAAGCAGACACUGCAGAGAUCUUUAAAGUUGAAUGCAUUUUGCUUUAAGAGGUGACCUUUGGAGACCGGUGGCAGAACAUUACGGUUAGGGUAUGAAAAUGUACCCAUGGGGUCACGUGUUUCAACACUUUGUCCCCAGCUGGCGGUGUUGACCAUAGCCAUCUGCCUUCACUACUGUGGGCUUCUUGAAUAUUGAGCCAAAGUGACCCCCUCCUCUCUUUUAAGUUCAUCUGACAACAACAAAAUUAACUAACGGGAUACUUAACUCAAAUUAUUAGUUUAAAAAAUUGCUAGGUGUGUUGAUUGUUCAUACAUUCAAAUGCAAACAAUGUCCCACCUGUCUCAAAGAUUUACACAUGCUGUGCCUCUGAAUAUUAAUGAACAGAUACUUGAAUGGUUAAUCCUAGCUUCUAGGAAAAUGAAAUGCUAAUUCUAUUCAGUUACAGAAAUAAUUCUUUCAGUGAAGUAGGAAACCCAGAAUUGGAGUAUCAGUGGCCUAUGUCUGUAAUGUGUGGUGUUUCCUGUAACCUUGGGCUCUUCCACCUGUCCACUUGGUUCCCAGAAAUAACAACUCUGAGACUUUAUUAUUACUGAAUAAACGCCUAGGCCAAAAGCCUCGGAUCAUUCCCUGACUAGCUCAGAACUUAAUCCUCCCAUCAUCCCACUCUAAGUUCUGUCACAUGGCCGGUUACCUGGUCCUCAGUCUCACGGGACCAUCUUCUUCUAUGUCUGGGGCAAAUCUCCCCAAUGCCUGACUCAAACCUAGCAUCCUCUCUCUCUGCCAGAACUCCCACCUCCCUAUUUCCUCCCUAUUUCCUAAUAGGCCAACAGCAUUUUAUUGACAGGUGGUGUUUCCAUACAAUCUAAUGGUGCUAAGGCCACUGCAGAGAUGAAGGUAGGCCAGACUCUUAUCACUCAGUUGGCACAGUAGAUACAGAGGCGUGGUUGUAAGAUUAAGUCCACAGGGCAUCAGAGAGCGCAUCUGGGUUGCUAGCAGGCUGGGGUGUAACUCGGCUGGUAUAGUUCUUGCCGAGUGUGUUAUGAAGUCCUGGGCCGCAUCCUGUGGUGGUCUGAAUGAGAAUGACUCCCUUAGCCUCCUCUAUCUGAAUGCGUGCAUCAAAGUUGGUGGAACUUUUGGGAAGGACUAGGAGGUGUGGCCUUGUUGGAGGAGAUGUGUCACUGGGGGCGGGCUCUGAGGUUUCAAAGCCCUCGCCAUUCACAAGUAGCUUUCUUCUCUCUGAUGAAUACUCUAGGGUGCUGCUGCAGCAAGGUACCUGCCUGCCCUGCUGCACUGCUUCCCACCAUGGUGGUCAUGCACUCACCAUCUAAAACCAUGAGCCCCCAAGUUAAAUGCUUUCUUUUAUAAGCUGCCUUGGUCUUGGUGAUUUGCCAUGGCAAAAGAAACGUUAACUAAGAUACAUUCCCACUGUGUCAUAAACCAAAUGCGGAUUCUCAGUACUUGGGAGGAGGAGGGUCACAAGUUCAAGGCCAUCCUCUGCUACACAGCAAGUUCAAGGCCAGCCUAGGCUACAGGAGAGUGUCUCAAAAAGCAGCAAAGCACCCAGCACCUUAGGGUGAAGGACCACUUCUGGAAUGUAUCCUCCCAGUUGCAAAUGUACACUGUCUCAUUCACUCCUGUGACAUACUUUGUUUGUGAAUGCUAAUAUCACAUAGUUCGAUCUUUGUUGGGAUUUUAUCUUAGUCCAUUGUGUACUGAGAGAGGAGUUAGGUUUAGAAAGCCUUCCUCAGAUGUCCCUCAAAGAAGCUGCUACAACUGCCCUCAUCCCAAGUUGCCAAGGAUCGCUACUUUUUCAGAGACGCCUUCAUUAAGGGGAGAAUGGAAAGAUGCUGGUUGACUUGAAAGAUUUCUCUCUGAUUUGUUUUACAGGAAGUGCAUUCUGUACACAUGAGAGACUCCGGGUGGAGAGGCAUUGUGGCGGUUGAGAUGCACCUGGGAGUGCCAACUGCCCCCGCUUCUACCACAGCUCUGCAUAGCAGGCUGGAGCAAGCAGCCAGCCAACCAUUGUGCCCUAGCCUCAUCUCCUCCAGAAGAGGUUAUCUGGGCUCUGUGUAACCUCUGCUCUUUGGCUAUGGUAUUCCUUCUUGGUGCUUUCUGUGGUCAACCUCCAGGUACACUUAGGGCCUAUCCUAGACAGACUGGGAAGAAAGAAUGACAUUCCCAUUGACCUCUGUUUUUAUUUCCUGGAAAUCCAGACCUUGUUCCAGUUAGUGGAGCAUGGGGUUAGACCAACCACACUGCUAAGAGUUUUGGCCUGUAGACAUAUCUGGUAUAGUACUUACCUAGAAUGCACAGAAACCCUGAGUUUGAUCCCCAGCACCAAUAAACUAGGCAUGGUAGUGCACAUCUGUAAUUCCAGCACCUAGGAGGUAGACUAGGCAGAAGGAUCAGAAGUUCAGGACCAUCCUUGGUUUCAUAUUGAGCUUGAGGCCAGCCUGGGCUACGUAAGACCCUUUCUCUAAAACAACAAAUGUGCAGAUGUGUUGAGGGUCCCCUGGAAGAGCAGCUAGUGCUCUUACAUGCAGAGCAUGUCUCCAGACUCUCAGCUGCUUCCUGUCUGCUCCUGCUGGAUGCUUCAUGAAGAUGGAGUGAAGCAGUGGUCAGCUUGUCUGUCUCAGCUGUUCUAUGUGCACACAGAAGCCAGAGAUCACUGGAGCCCUUGGACCUGGAGUUGCUAAUGGCUGUGAACUGCCCGGUGUGAGUGCUGGGGAUUAACCAGGUGCUCUGCAAGAGCAGCCAGAGUUCUUAACCACUGAGCCAGCUCACAAGCUACUGCACUGGGCCUUUGGGGCUCAUCUAUGUUGUCACACAUAUCCACUGCUUUCCCCGCAUAAUUCCAGUGUGUGGGCAUACUGAAUUCUGUUUACACAUUCAUAAAUCGACAGGUGGUUGUUAUCAUUCCUUUGCUACUCUAAAUGAUGUUAAUGCAAUUACCAUACACAUUUUCUAACAGGGCAUAGAUGUGUCCCCAGUGGUAGAAUUAAUUGGUCAUGCAUAGCUCUGUGUUUAACAAUGUCAAGACAUUUCAAAGCUAACUCAAGUGUCGGCAGUGCUUCACAAUCCCACAAUCCCCAGCUCUCCAUCAACGUGGGACACCCUCUACCUUUGACGUCCUGUGGCGGCUUCUGAGGGUGAAUUUGCUCUGCUCUGUGGCUGUUGGUGUUGAACAAACUUCCAUGUGCUUAUCAGCCCUUUGCGUUUCUUCUUUGGAAAAUGUGUACUUAGGGUUUUGCCCACUUUGAAAUGUGUUGUUUCUAUUGGUUUAGUUUCUGUUUAUCUCACUUUUGAUUUGAUGUUUUAGAUGCAGCUUUGCGUAGCCAGCAAUGAUCUCAAAUUCUUGAUUCCCUUGCUUCCUCCUCCCAAAUGCUGGGAUUACAUAAAUAAAGAAAUCUUUUUUAAAAAGAAAGAGAGAGAGCCAUCUCCUUCAAGUUGUCCUCCACAUACGCUUCACAUAUAUUUAAAAAUACUAAUUAAAAACAAACAAACAAACAAAUAAA